Molecule: long non-coding RNA, 596 nt
Organism: Brienomyrus brachyistius
Lineage: Eukaryota; Metazoa; Chordata; Actinopteri; Osteoglossiformes; Mormyridae
Exons: 2
Source: RefSeq, a predicted model, not a curated record
CUUUUUUGUCUUGGAAGGAGAAUCGUGCAAGAAAAAAAGGCAAGGCGAGAAGAGGUCGGGACCGGUGUGGAAGAAUAAAACCAGCCUCCACCGUUAAGCAAAAAAUGCAAAUUGUCAUGCAAGUUCGUAAACUCCUGGUUUUAUUCAUCGUCCAACUCGAGGACUGGACCAGCUCCGCGUAGCUGAACUCGGCAGAUCCACGAGCGCUGGGCUCGGAGAGGCGGAGGUUGAGCCGCACCGUGAUUCGCCUCGGGCCGCCGUCGCCCCUGUCACCGGCCGCAUCGAUACCUGGCAAACCGCAGCUGACCCCGGCCCCCAUCUCCGGACCCCCAGACCGCCCAUUUAUCCCGGGACAGUCUUCGGCGUCGGCCUCCAGUCGGGGGUUCUGCGGGUCGGCGGCCGCUACGGAGCUAAAAGCCGACACGGUCACAAAGGGUACUUUCCUCGGUUCGGCCAUUUGGACCGUUAAUGUGAGAACCGUCCGCCUGACCGAAGCCGAGCAGCGGCAGCCGCAGAGACCCCACACAGACAAACUGCUUUAUAUUCUGUUUCGGGGGCUACAAUUUUUUUAUUAAAAUACGUAAUUGCUGACACAA